GAUGAACGCUGGCGGCGUGCCUCAAACAUGCAAGUCGAGCGGGGCUAUGUAAUACCGCAAGGUAGAACAUAGCCUAGCGGCGAACGGGUGAGUAACACGUGGGUAACCUGCCUGGAAGACAGGGAUAACGAUUCGAAAGGGUCGCUAAUACCUGAUAAUAUCCUUUCAUCGCAUGGUGAUAGGAAGAAAGGGGAAACCCGCUUUCAGAUGGGCCCGCGUCCCAUCAGCUAGUUGGUAAGGUAAAGGCUUACCAAGGCGACGACGGGUAGCCGGUCUGAGAGGAUGUACGGCCACACUGGGACUGAGAUACGGCCCAGACUCCUACGGGAGGCAGCAGUUGGGAAUCUUAGGCAAUGGACGAAAGUCUGACCUAGCGACGCCGCGUGAGGGAAGAAGGCCUUCGGGUUGUAAACCUCUGUCAUGGGGGAAGAAGUAAGUGACGGUACCCCAAGAGGAAGCCCCGGCUAACUACGUG
RNAcentral lists this ribosomal RNA (475 nucleotides) under uncultured bacterium. RNAcentral describes it as "bacterial SSU rRNA". It matches the Rfam family "Bacterial small subunit ribosomal RNA", at positions 28 to 507 of the family's 1533-position model. The record is from RNAcentral.